AGGAGGCAAGAAUCUUGUUUAACUUAUUUACCAUCCCUGAAUGAAUGGGAGGAAAUCUGCUUGGAGAGUCUGCAGCCAGAGCAAGAAAAGGGAGGCAGAGAGAGGGCAGCCACAGAGAAAAGAAAAGAAAAGAAAUACAUUCAGGCAAUGUGACUUGCCGGAAGCCUCAGCUGGCUGCAUCUGAAGCCCAGGGAGUUAAAUAACUCCCCAAGGUCACACAGAUAUGGGCAUGCAAACCAGGGCUCCUGACUCUAAGCUGUGUGAUCAGAUGGCCAUGGGAAAGGGGGCUCCUCACUGGCCGGAAGGGACACUCCAGACCCUCUGUGGCUGACCCAGGCUGCUUCCACGGGGUGGCAGAAGGACUGGGACCAAAUCGUGCUGGACUUUGAUAAGAUUCACUCCCGCACUGGGCCUGAUGGACUUUCUGGCUGGAAUUUGUGUAACUGCCCAAUUCUGGUAUGUCUGGGGAACCUCACGAACGAUAGUAAUAAUUGGAAGAGUAGUAGCUAACAUUUUUUUAAGCACUUACUGUGUAUCGGACUUGGGCUAAAUACUACACGUGCUUCAUUCUCAGUCCCCUCAGGAGCCCAUUUUUAUCAUCCCUAAUUUACUUAUUUUUUUAUUUUUUUGUAACUUUAAUUUUUAAAAAUUUUCGGCCUCACCACGUGGCAGGUGGGAUCUUAGACCAAGGAUCGAACCCAUGUCCCCUGCAGUUGGAAGUGCCGAUUCUUAACCACUGGACCACAAGCGAAGUCCCCACCCCUAACUUAUUGGCGAGGAAACUGAGGCACGGACUGCUCACAGAGCUGACCCUAGCCCCAGGUCACCCUAGUAAAUGGCAUCCCGACAGCCGACUGACCCUCGCUAACCCCAGCCUGGCAGACUCCUACAGCAGCCUCACAAGCCACGCUGGCCUUACCGUCUCCUUCAGCGGGAGGCUGGGCGGGGCUGGCAGCCUCAGCAGGGCCCGCCCCCAGCGCAACAGUGAAAGAGACAAAGACUGACUAGAGAAGCUGCCCUCUCUGGUCAGCAUCUUGGGGCCCUUUCCCAGCCUGUUGCCUGGCCUUGGUGCUCUUCCCCACAUCUGGCUUUUGCAUCCUGAAAAGAAUCAGCCCCUCCUCUCAGGCCCAAAGGGAGCUGUCCAGCUCUUCCUAUACAGCACACGAUCCCCACCCGAGAGCAGGCAUUUUGAAUUGCAGCCUUUUGGGUUUAGACAAAAUGUAUCUGUCACUUGGAAAUUCGAUGGUGUGCCUGUGCCUGGGAGAAUCCCACCAUUAAAGCUGGUAACACAGGUAAACACUUAGGCCAGCACCCGGCAUAUGCACAGUGAGUAGAUUAGGGGGUCACUCGUGGGACCCCUGAGAUGCAUCAUCCAUGGUAAUAAUAAUGCUAGCAUUACCAGCUACCAGUUAUUAUCAGUCACAAGACUGACCCUGUGCUGAGCACUUCACAGACAUUUAAUAUUUGCAACGACCUAUAAGUUACAUGCUACUCCUCCUCAUCUUGCAGAUGAGAAAACUGAAGCGAAAGUCUCAUAGUUAGUAAGUGCUUGAGGUGGGAUUUGAACCCAGGCCUACAGAUUAGUGGCCUUCUUGUAGUCACUCUGCUCCUGGCUGAUUGGCCCUGUGCAUGUCCCACAAGUACACAGGCCCCUUGGGUAAAGUAGGCAGCGUUUCCUGAAAUUCCAAAAAUGCUCCAAGCAGUUCUAAUGGGAAUGUCCUGCAACUUGGGUCAGGCUUUGCUUUAACCCUCUAGUUGGCUGCUGGCCAGCACUCACCUUCCUGUGUCAAACUCUUCUGAUCAAUAACUAGGGGAUGCUUUUAUGCUCAUAAAGCACCCACUAAAAUACCACCUCAUUACUGUAAUUCUUGAUAACUCCUCCCCACCAAAGAAUCUCCUUUCCCUUCUCCUGUUUGUCAGCUGAGCUACUAAUUUAUAUGUUCUGUUUGUCCUUCGCUUUUAGGUCCUACCUGAUCCUCCCUCCUACUGUGACCUUGGGGGUCCAGGAUACAUUCCAUGCAAACUCCCCCUCCCCACUCCUACCACCGGUAUGGCCUUGAGACAUGCAUUUAACUCUAGCCCCUCUGUUUGCCCACCCUAUUAUCUCUUUCUUAAUACUUCUCUGGUCACAUCACUCCUGCUCCUCCUCUGAUUGUCUAUGGUGUCCCUAUCAUUGCUUCCCUCCCCCGAGCCAAUGGCACUGAACCGCCCAACAUGUGUAAGGGUGACUGCCUGGAAAAUGUAACUUUCAAAGAGCCUGAAGUUGAAUGACAGUAAACAGAACCUUGGAGACCCAGACAUCAUCUAGGGUAUACAUGGACUCAGCAGCAGGAACUUAGGCAUAAGGCAAGAUGGGAGAGAGAGGGAUGGGAUGAUCAAAAGAAUGAGCUGGAGGGAGAAAUGGGAAAUGAGGGAAGUGAUAUUGAUUCAACCAGGCCAAAAGAAUCCUUGACUGUCAGUGUUGGAAAGACCCUUAGAGAUCAACCAGUCCAGGAGUGACAAAGGAGUUUCAAGUCAUGAGCUAAUGCUGAGUGAUGAAUAGCAGCUGCCUGGAGUGUGUCCUGAGAAGAAAGUGUCGUUAUUGAUUAGCAAUGUCUGCCAUGGGCACUAGAUUAGAAAUGGUAGCAUGCGUGCCAGAAUUUACAUCCCUGAUCUAGUUUCGACCUCUUCUUUCUGGAGCAACUGAGAAGCCCAGAGGGGAAGAGACUUGUCCAAGGUUUAUACAUUGGAGCAAAUCUCAGGGCCCUUGCUGUCUCCUAAAACCCAAGUGAAGGUUGCACACACAUCCUAGCCAAAGACAAGGGACCCAGGGAAAGAGGGUCCUCAGUAUGGAAUAACUAGUAAAGGAGCAGCCAACUUGAAGCUGUGAAGAAGACUGUGGAUGCAUCGUAGACCAGACACUGGGUGAGUGCUCAGUUCUCACUAGGUGAUCAGUUGACCGAUAUGCCCAGUACCCUGGUUGUACCUCCUCUGACCUCUGGCCUCCCACCCAGGGAGGACAAGGAGGCUCCCUGGAGCAGAGGCCUUGGCUCUCUCUAGACAAAGAGUAGAGAACACAGUCAGAGGGAGGCAAAAGGAGGGGGAAAUGGUCUUGAGGCAGGGAUGGCUCCCAUAGGAGCAAAGGCACUGACUAUGCCACAGUGGAGAGGGCCUUGGAGAAGAUGGCAAUUAGGAGGCAAACACACAGGCACCUGUGCAGGUUUGGUAUGUGAGCCAGAGGAGAAGAAAGAACCUCCAGGUGACAAGAGCUGCAGAAUGGAGAUAAUGAUACCCUGACAAAGCAGUGGGGGCUUGGAGCCAAGCCCGGCCAAGGUGCUGGCACAGCUAAGCCAUGACGUACCACUUCCAGGCUGGGGAAUGUGGGCCGUGGAGGGGCAGGGAGGUGGGCUGAGGUGCCCAGCAUCAGCACAGCCUCAGAGGUUUGCUACUGAACUUCUGCCUCCCUCCCUGUCUCUGUUGCUUUUCCCUUCCCUUCCUUUCCCAGUCUAUCUUUUCCCUUCUCUUUUUUUCUUCCCUGUACUGCUCUGUACAACAGAGUCUCCACCAGGAGCAGAAAUGGGGAAGGGAGUGGUGAGAAUAGUGGUGACACUGAAAGAUCUGGGAGCCGCUUUCAUGCAGAUCACCUCCCAAGGCUCUGAAAACAACCCAGGCUAUGAAGGAAUCCAAGAGCAGAGAAUCAGAUCCAACAUCAUACCCAGUUUUUCACCAAAGGAAACUAACGCCCAGAGAAGUGAAGACCUCCGCCAAGUCAGUGUCACGCUGAUUUGCAUGCCACUUUCCAUCCCCCUUCUACUGCUAGCACUCCCAUAUUUUCCCUGGGGAACCACCCCUUCCCUGCCUCUGUCCAUGUGGUUUAGAAAGUGCUGAAUAAACCUGACCGUACCCAAGAUCUCAGGGUGGCAUAUGACUGGAGCUGGCCCAUCUGUGCCUUCCAACCCUGCAUCACAAGUCUCGAUAACAGUUGAUCCCAUAAGGUCAGCACUGGAUCUUUUGUGGAACAACUGGAAAACGAGUGCUUUUUUUCCAUCGGGUUUGUCAUGUUGGUAGGUUUAAGCCUGGAGCUGCUUAAAACACUUAUGGAGUGGCUACCAUAGAGUAAAGCCAACACAAAGGAAAGGAGAGACAGAUGCCAGAUGACACCGUCUGAGUGCCUGGAUCCAGCUAUACCUGAAGACUAACCUUAGACUUUUCAGUUAUGUGAGCAAAAAAAACUUAAGCCAGUUUGCAUUGGAUUUGCAUCCAAGAGACUCUAAAGCAGCUUAGAGAAACAGAAGGAGAGAAAGACCACCCAGAGACAGAGACAAUUGCAGGGAUGAGGACCAGGUCUGAUAAGAAAGUGGGGGAGUGGGAGGGCUGGUCCAUUAGGAUCACUGAACUGACAUGCAACAGUGAAACAGGAAUACCAGAAUUUAUUGGAGGGAACACACAGCCAAGGAUGAUUCUGCAGGUGGAUUAAUCUGAGGUGGGGUGAAAGUUUCUUUCCUGCUACAUAAGCUGUCUAUCUGUGUACUAACCAAAGUCUGCCGGAGCCCCCAGCCUGCACAGGGCGUGGGUCGACAGAGGGUGGGGAGGAAGGCACGGUCAGUUGGAGUUUAUCUUGACAGUCAGCAGCCAGUUGCAACGGACGUCCCUACUAAUAGCGCUAUUAGUAGCUCAUAAGCCUCAUUCCAAGACAGAUCUUUAAAGACAAAUGAAAACAUUCAACCAAUCCCUGCUUAUCACGUGAGCUCAGCAUUGCCCCACCCCCACCCCGCCCCAAUCCAUUCCUUAUCAGACGUCCCCAGAUUUUAUCUGAUUUACAGGAUACUAAACUUAGUGAUAAACAAGAGAGACUGAAGGAGGAACUAAGUCACAAGCUUGACUCAUCCACAGUCCAGGUUGCUCAGUUCCGACACGUCGCACAUGCAGCAACCUGGGGAAGGUGACCACAACUUUCCUUGCUGUAGCGGCACGAUGUGCUGGAACCUCAUUGAUUAUAACCUAAUGAGAUGACCUCCUGGGGACCACCAACCUUGGGCCUCCUCUGUGCUGCUUGCAGGAGGUGCCAGGUGGGCAUGGGCAUGGUGGGAGGAAGUCAUGCCCCGCGCUGAUAAGAAACUCCCUUCCCUUGUCCCAGACACACCGAUGUCUGCCUCUCAGGGGUGAGAGGGAGGACACGGCCUUAAAGAAAGACAGAGAGGGUGGAGGGUCUGGUGCCUGGGAGUUAUUUCUCUCUUUACUCGUCCCCACCUCUCCCACUUCCCGUCACUGGGAAACCAUCAAUGCUUUAAAAAAAAAAAAAAUGACAUAAACAAAAUACAUAUAUGUAGUAGAUGUGUACCUAUAAAAUUCAAUAUAUAAAAAUACAUACAAUAUUCAAGGAGUUGUCAUUCCCCCUGUCAACUCUUUGUUUUAGAGAACUUUCCAUGCUUUGCAGUUAAGGUCCGCCCCAUCAUUUCUUACAGCAGCAUGGUAAUUCUGUUUAUUUAUCCACCCCCUUAUUGAUGGACAUUGAGGUUGUAUCUGAUUUUUUUUUUUUUUACUGUUGCAAACAAGAACAUCUAAUACAUUUUGUGCAGUGAACACCUAAUAAAC
Physeter macrocephalus (sperm whale) is the source of this 5574-nucleotide long non-coding RNA. RefSeq lists it as uncharacterized. Lineage: Eukaryota; Metazoa; Chordata; Mammalia; Artiodactyla; Physeteridae. The transcript is spliced from 4 exons. The record is from RefSeq and is a predicted model, not a curated record.